CUGAACAGGCGGGUCUCGAUCCCACAAAAAUUAGUUAACAGCUAAUUACCCAAUCCAGCGGGCUUCUAUUCG
RNAcentral lists this transfer RNA (72 nucleotides) under Anolis loveridgei. RNAcentral's name for it is "tRNA-Asn". Lineage: Eukaryota; Metazoa; Chordata; Lepidosauria; Squamata; Anolidae. The record is from RNAcentral.